Molecule: long non-coding RNA, 748 nt
Organism: Callorhinchus milii (elephant shark)
Lineage: Eukaryota; Metazoa; Chordata; Chondrichthyes; Chimaeriformes; Callorhinchidae
Exons: 3
Source: RefSeq, a predicted model, not a curated record
GAAGUCGAACUGAGAUCGGAAAUCUGUGCUAUCUCCACUCUAUAUUUUCUUACAAAUGACUCCUCGUAUUGCUCCAUCCAAAUAUUUCAUAGAGUUUCACAGGAAUAAAUGUAGAAUGCAGUGACACUAUGUUUGUGGACGGAUACACACACACAGAAUUUGAUGACAGCAAUGUCCCAAGAACAGGCGUAAAAUUAAUGAUUAAUAUUAAUCUGAGGAAUGGUACAAUGUGACACCAGUUGGAGCUCACUUCUCCUUUGCACAACAUUCGUCACGCUGUGUUUCCACGGCAGCCCACGUCUUCCUGUCAGGGCUUUGCUCGCCGCAGAAACAAUAAACUACUGCGGUGUGUUUAUGACAGAGAGCGAGAAAGACAGCGAAAGAGACAGAGAGAGAAAGAAAGAAAGAAAGUCUGAAUUUCUGCUUCCCAGCUGCGAACAUCGCUCAGUAUCGAUCGCUGGUGUUCGUCUGUGUGUGUGUGAGUGUGUUUGUGUGUGUUUCACACCUCAGGCUGUGUGUGUGUAACAGAGAAGUGAAUGAUUUGGGAUCACAGAGCUCAGUGAACGUGAAAAAAGCUGCUCCUCAGCUUCCAGGUUCGUCUCUUGGCCCGAGCUCCUCCUCAUCCCCGUCAUGGAGACGUUGUUCCUCAUCUUUGUGAUAUUUCUGGAGAGAAAGAUGUUGGAAUCUGCAGAGGGUGCGAGGGUGAGGCUGGUGAACAGCGGCAGCCCGUGUGCCGGAAGAGUGGAGG